This 616-nucleotide ribosomal RNA is filed under the name uncultured bacterium. RNAcentral describes it as "bacterial SSU rRNA". It matches the Rfam family "Bacterial small subunit ribosomal RNA", at positions 338 to 945 of the family's 1533-position model. The record is from RNAcentral.
CCUACGGGAGGCAGCAGUGGGGAAUUUUGGACAAUGGGCGCAAGCCUGAUCCAGCAAUGCCGCGUGAGUGAAGAAGGCCUUCGGGUUGUAAAGCUCUUUUGUCAGGGAAGAAACGGUGGGGGCUAAUAUCUCCUACUAAUGACGGUACCUGAAGAAUAAGCACCGGCUAACUACGUGCCAGCAGCCGCGGUAAUACGUAGGGUGCAAGCGUUAAUCGGAAUUACUGGGCGUAAAGCGUGCGCAGGCGGUUUUGUAAGUCUGUCGUGAAAGCCCCGGGCUCAACCUGGGAAUUGCGAUGGAGACUGCAAGGCUUGAAUCUGGCAGAGGGGGGUAGAAUUCCACGUGUAGCAGUGAAAUGCGUAGAGAUGUGGAGGAACACCGAUGGCGAAGGCAGCCCCCUGGGUCAAGAUUGACGCUCAUGCACGAAAGCGUGGGGAGCAAACAGGAUUAGAUACCCUGGUAGUCCACGCCCUAAACGAUGUCUACUAGUUGUCGGGUUUUAAUUAACUUGGUAACGCAGCUAACGCGUGAAGUAGACCGCCUGGGGAGUACGGUCGCAAGNUUAAAACUUCAAAGGAAUUGACGGNUUGNGNGNGCGAGNGACGACGAGGAGAGG